CGGAACGGGUGGAGUAACGCGUGAAUAACCUGACUCAAAGAGGGGGAGUAACAACGGGAAACUAGUUGCUAAUACCGCAUGAGACCACAACACCGCAUGAUGAAGGGGUCAAAGAUUUAUCGCUUUGAGAGGGGUUCGCGUCCCAUUAGGUAGUUGGAGGGGUAACGGCCCACCAAGCCAACGAUGGGUAGCCGAGCUGAGAGGCUGAUCGGCCACACUGGAACUGAGACACGGUCCAG
Molecule: ribosomal RNA, 239 nt
Filed under: uncultured bacterium
Lineage: Bacteria
Description: partial 16S ribosomal RNA
Rfam family: Bacterial small subunit ribosomal RNA
Source: RNAcentral